RNAcentral lists this ribosomal RNA (253 nucleotides) under uncultured bacterium. RNAcentral describes it as "partial 16S ribosomal RNA". It matches the Rfam family "Bacterial small subunit ribosomal RNA", at positions 524 to 776 of the family's 1533-position model. The record is from RNAcentral.
UACGGAGGGCGCGAGCGUUGUUCGGAAUCACUGGGCGUAAAGCGCGUGUAGGCGGCCGAGCAAGUCGGAUGUGAAAUCCCGAGGCUCAACCUCGGAACUGCAUUCGAAACUGCUCGGCUCGAGUCCCGGAGAGGAUGGCGGAAUUCCCGGUGUAGGGGUGAAAUCCGUAGAUAUCGGGAGGAACACCAGUGGCGAAGGCGGCCAUCUGGACGGUGACUGACGAUGAGACGCGAAAGCGUGGGGAGCAAACAGG